Molecule: long non-coding RNA, 430 nt
Filed under: Ananas comosus (pineapple)
Lineage: Eukaryota; Viridiplantae; Streptophyta; Magnoliopsida; Poales; Bromeliaceae
Description: long non-coding RNA (ACOM_LNC002155)
Source: RNAcentral
ACGAUCAUGGAUGAAGCAGUACUUGAUCAGCAGGGGCGGGCUAUAAAUAGGCAAAUAAUGCCCAAAAGAGAGGUCUUUUUUUCGAGAAUAGAAAACCACCUUUAUUUCCUCUGCAUUUUCCUCACAUUUUCUCGGAGUAAUCUACUUGUAAUCUUUUACUUUGCCGCACUUACUAUUUUUUCCUAGAAGUAAGUUCAAGUUAGAUCAACCGAGUUUGUAUGCCCUCAGGCACACUCGUCCUUUGUACUAGUUUCAUAUAUUAAUUCCAAUAUAUAAAGGCAUUCGGCUCUUCAACCGACCCAAAACACUGUGCUUUCCGUACACUCGGCUCAUUCAGCCGAUCUGAUUCUGUAGUAAAAGGUUUCUAACUCGGCUGAUCCGAUCCCUCAUCAGCCGAAUCGCUUAAUCCAGUUGAAAGACGCAAACUUCA